CCUACGGGUGGCAGCAGUGGGGAAUAUUGGGCAAUGGGCGCAAGCCUGACCCAGCAACGCCGCGUGAAGGAAGAAGGCUUUCGGGUUGUAAACUUCUUUUCUCAGGGACGAAGCAAGUGACGGUACCUGAGGAAUAAGCUACGGCUAACUACGUGCCAGCAGCCGCGGUAAUACGUAGGUGGCAAGCGUUAUCCGGAUUUACUGGGUGUAAAGGGCGUGUAGGCGGGGAGGCAAGUCAGAGGUGAAAACCACGGGCUCAACCUGUGGCCUGCAUUUGAAACUGUGUUUCUGGAGUGCUGGAGAGGCAGACGGAAUUCCUGGUGUAGCAGUGAAAUGCGUAGAUAUUAGGAGGAACACCAGUGGCGAAGGCGAUCAGCUGGAAAGCAACUGACGCUGAGGCGCGAAAGCGUGGGGAGCAAACAGGAUUAGAUACCCCAGUAGUC
This 443-nucleotide ribosomal RNA is filed under the name uncultured bacterium. Its description in RNAcentral is "partial 16S ribosomal RNA". It matches the Rfam family "Bacterial small subunit ribosomal RNA", at positions 338 to 795 of the family's 1533-position model. The record is from RNAcentral.